Molecule: long non-coding RNA, 232 nt
Filed under: Homo sapiens (human)
Lineage: Eukaryota; Metazoa; Chordata; Mammalia; Primates; Hominidae
Description: HSALNT0350205
Source: RNAcentral
GCCAGCCGCCCCGUCCGGGAGGGAGGUGGGGGGGGUCGGCCCCCCCGCCCGGCCAGCCGCCCCGUCCAGGAGGGAGGUGGGGGGGUCAGCCCCCCGCCCGGCCAGCCGCCCCGUCCGGGAGGGAGGUGGGGGGGUCGGCCCCCCUGCCCGGCCAGCCGCCCCGUCCGGGAGGGAGGUGGGGGGGUCAGCCCCCCGCCCGGCCAGCCGCCCCGUCCGGGAGGGAGGUUGGGGG